UGCAGAAUUCCGCGAAUCAUCGAGUCUUUGAACGCAAGUUGCGCCCGAGGCUUGUCCGAGGGCAUUUCCGCUAGAGCGUCAC
RNAcentral lists this ribosomal RNA (82 nucleotides) under Calliergonella curvifolia. RNAcentral's name for it is "partial 5.8S ribosomal RNA". It matches the Rfam family "5.8S ribosomal RNA", at positions 73 to 154 of the family's 154-position model. From Rfam's summary of the family: 5.8S ribosomal RNA (5.8S rRNA) is a component of the large subunit of the eukaryotic ribosome. It is transcribed by RNA polymerase I as part of the 45S precursor that also contains 18S and 28S rRNA. Lineage: Eukaryota; Viridiplantae; Streptophyta; Bryopsida; Hypnales; Pylaisiaceae. The record is from RNAcentral.